AUUGAACGCUGGCGGCAGGCCUAACACAUGCAAGUCGAGCGGAUGAGGGGAGCUUGCUCCCUGAUUUAGCGGCGGACGGGUGAGUAAUGCCUAGGAAUCUGCCUGGUAGUGGGGGAUAACGUUCGGAAGGGAAGGUAAAUACCGCUACCGUCCUCGGGGGGAAAGCAGGGGACUUUCGGCCCUUCCGUUACCGGUUGAGCCUAGGUCGGAUUAGCUAGUUGGUGAGGUAAUGGCUCACCAAGGCGCCGAUCCGUAACUGGUCUGAGAGGAUGAUCAGUCACACUGGAACUGAGACACGGUCCAGACUCCUACGGGAGGCAGCAGUGGGGAAUAUUGGACAAUGGGCGAAAGCCUGAUCCAGCCAUGCCGCGUGUGUGAAGAAGGUCUUCGGAUUGUAAAGCACUUUAAGUUGGGAGGAAGGGCUGCUGGUUAAUACCCUGCAGUUUUGACGUUACCAACAGAAUAAGCACCGGCUAACUUCGUG
RNAcentral lists this ribosomal RNA (484 nucleotides) under uncultured bacterium. RNAcentral's name for it is "partial 16S ribosomal RNA". It matches the Rfam family "Bacterial small subunit ribosomal RNA", at positions 30 to 507 of the family's 1533-position model. The record is from RNAcentral.